Molecule: transfer RNA, 53 nt
Filed under: Notoryctes typhlops (marsupial mole)
Lineage: Eukaryota; Metazoa; Chordata; Mammalia; Notoryctemorphia; Notoryctidae
Description: transfer RNA-Lys
Source: RNAcentral
CGUAACUUUAUUUUCUGUACUUCCGUACAUAAAAGGACUUUAACACCCUACAA